Molecule: ribosomal RNA, 555 nt
Filed under: uncultured bacterium
Lineage: Bacteria
Description: partial 16S ribosomal RNA
Rfam family: Bacterial small subunit ribosomal RNA
Source: RNAcentral
UAGGGAAUCUUCCACAAUGGACGCAAGUCUGAUGGAGCAACGCCGCGUGAGUGAAGAAGGCUUUCGGGUCGUAAAACUCUGUUGUUGGAGAAGAAUGGUCGGCAGAGUAACUGUUGUCGGCGUGACGGUAUCCAACCAGAAAGCCACGGCUAACUACGUGCCAGCAGCCGCGGUAAUACGUAGGUGGCAAGCGUUAUCCGGAUUUAUUGGGCGUAAAGCGAGCGCAGGCGGUUUUUUAAGUCUGAUGUGAAAGCCCUCGGCUUAACCGAGGAAGCGCAUCGGAAACUGGGAAACUUGAGUGCAGAAGAGGACAGUGGAACUCCAUGUGUAGCGGUGAAAUGCGUAGAUAUAUGGAAGAACACCAGUGGCGAAGGCGGCUGUCUGGUCUGUAACUGACGCUGAGGCUCGAAAGCAUGGGUAGCGAACAGGAUUAGAUACCCUGGUAGUCCAUGCCGUAAACGAUGAAUGCUAGGUGUUGGAGGGUUUCCGCCCUUGCAGUGCCGCAGCUAACGCAUUAAGCAUUCCGCCUGGGGAGUACGACCGCAAGGUUGAAAC